RNAcentral lists this ribosomal RNA (468 nucleotides) under uncultured bacterium. RNAcentral's name for it is "partial 16S ribosomal RNA". It matches the Rfam family "Bacterial small subunit ribosomal RNA", at positions 28 to 507 of the family's 1533-position model. The record is from RNAcentral.
GACGAACGCUGGCGGCGUGCUUAACACAUGCAAGUCGAACGGAAAGGCCCUGCUUUUGUGGGGUGCUCGAGUGGCGAACGGGUGAGUAACACGUGAGUAACCUGCCCUUGACUUUGGGAUAACUUCAGGAAACUGGGGCUAAUACCGGAUAGGAGCUCCUGCUGCAUGGGGGGGGUUGGAAAGUUUCGGCGGUUGGGGAUGGACUCGCGGCUUAUCAGCUUGUUGGUGGGGUAGUGGCUUACCAAGGCUUUGACGGGUAGCCGGCCUGAGAGGGUGACCGGCCACAUUGGGACUGAGAUACGGCCCAGACUGCUACGGGAGGCAGCAGUGGGGAAUAUUGCACAAUGGGCGGAAGCCUGAUGCAGCAACGCCGCGUGCGGGAUGACGGCCUUCGGGGUGUAAACCGUUUUCGCCUGUGACGAAGCGUGAGUGACGGUAAUGGGUAAAGAAGCACCGGCUAACUACGUG